GAUGAACGCUAGCGGGAGGCCUAACACAUGCAAGCCGAGCGGUAUUGUUUCUUCGGAAAUGAGAGAGCGGCGUACGGGUGCGUAACACGUGUGCAACCUGCCUUUAUCUGGGGGAUAGCCUUUCGAAAGGAAGAUUAAUACUCCAUAAUAUAUUGAACGGCAUCGUUUAAUAUUGAAAGCUCCGGCGGAUAGAGAUGGGCACGCGCAAGAUUAGCUAGUUGGUGAGGUAACGGCUCACCAAGGCGAUGAUCUUUAGGGGGCCUGAGAGGGUGAUCCCCCACACUGGUACUGAGACACAGACCAGACUCCUACGGGAGGCAGCAGUGAGGAAUAUUGGUCAAUGGGUGCAAGCCUGAACCAGCCAUCCCGCGUGAAGGACGACUGCCCUAUGGGUUGUAAACUUCUUUUGUAUAGGGAUAAACCUACCCUCGAGAGGGUAGCUGAAGUUACUAUACGAAUAAGCACCGGCUAACUCCGUG
This 479-nucleotide ribosomal RNA is filed under the name uncultured bacterium. RNAcentral describes it as "partial 16S ribosomal RNA". It matches the Rfam family "Bacterial small subunit ribosomal RNA", at positions 28 to 507 of the family's 1533-position model. The record is from RNAcentral.